Molecule: long non-coding RNA, 464 nt
Filed under: Olea europaea (common olive)
Lineage: Eukaryota; Viridiplantae; Streptophyta; Magnoliopsida; Lamiales; Oleaceae
Description: long non-coding RNA (OEUR_LNC010298)
Source: RNAcentral
GGAAGUGGAGCCAUAUUAGACGGGGGAGGUCCUAGAAGGGACUUAACAGGAGGAAAUGGAGCCAGUGAAACCGAAAGAUGAUUGCCAUUACGCUUUCUACAUGAAGAAGAAGAUCUUGGACUAUCACGACCUUUACAAUUAUUUUUCCAAAUAGGAGGAACAUUAGACGGAGAAUGUUUUAUGAUAGACUUAUGAUGAGGCGACGCUAAUGAGAUGGGUGGACGACGAUGACGGGGACUUAACAGGAGGAAGUGGAGCCAUAUUAGACGGGGGAGGUCCUGGAAGGGACUUAACGGGAGGAAAUGGAGCCAGUGAAACCGAAAGAUGAUUGCCAUUACGCUUUCUACAUGAAGAAGAAGAUCUUGGACUAUCACGACCUUUACAAUUAUUUUUCCAAAUAGGAGGAACAUUAGACGGAGAAUGUUUUAUGAUAGACUUAUGAUGAGGCGACGCUAAUGAGAUGG